UGUGGGGAAUUUUCCGCAAUGGGCGAAAGCCUGACGGAGCAAUACCGCGUGAGGGAGGAAGGCUCUUGGGUUGUAAACCUCUUUUCUCAGGGAAUAAUAAGUUGAAGGUACCUGAGGAAUAAGCAUCGGCUAACUCCGUGCCAGCAGCCGCGGUAAUACGGAGGAUGCAAGCGUUAUCCGGAAUGAUUGGGCGUAAAGCGUCCGCAGGUGGUUUAUCAAGUCUGCUGUCAAAGCGUCUGGCUUAACUAGAUAAAGGCAGUGGAAACUGAGAGACUGGAGUAUGGUAGGGGUAGAGGGAAUUCCCGGUGUAGCGGUGAAAUGCGUAGAGAUCGGGAAGAACACCGGUGGCGAAAGCGCUCUGCUGGACCAUAACUGACACUGAGGACGAAGCU
This 392-nucleotide ribosomal RNA is filed under the name Tolypothrix bouteillei VB61268. RNAcentral's name for it is "bacterial SSU rRNA". It matches the Rfam family "Bacterial small subunit ribosomal RNA", at positions 353 to 761 of the family's 1533-position model. The record is from RNAcentral. Lineage: Bacteria; Bacillati; Cyanobacteriota; Cyanophyceae; Nostocales; Tolypothrichaceae.